UCGGGAAUGGUCGGGAUAGCUCAGCUGGUAGAGCAGAGGACUGAAA
RNAcentral lists this transfer RNA (46 nucleotides) under Averrhoa dolichocarpa. RNAcentral's name for it is "partial tRNA-Phe". Lineage: Eukaryota; Viridiplantae; Streptophyta; Magnoliopsida; Oxalidales; Oxalidaceae. The record is from RNAcentral.